AUCAGUUUGUCCGAGUGGUUAAGGAGUUAGACUUGAAAUCUAAUGGGCUCCGCCCGCACAGGUUCGAACCCUGUAGCUGAUG
This is a non-coding RNA of Rhizopus microsporus, 82 nucleotides long. The record is from Rfam. Lineage: Eukaryota; Fungi; Mucoromycota; Mucoromycetes; Mucorales; Rhizopodaceae.